Molecule: long non-coding RNA, 1346 nt
Filed under: Callithrix jacchus (white-tufted-ear marmoset)
Lineage: Eukaryota; Metazoa; Chordata; Mammalia; Primates; Cebidae
Description: lncRNA (ENSCJAG00000076348.1)
Source: RNAcentral
AUGAUUGCGAGUUGGAAAUGUCAAGUCUCCAGAAAUGACAAUAUUGCCACGAUCACACCAGCCUGGAAUUAUCUUCAUGCUGCAAAACUUCUCUUCAUGCUCCUUGCUUUCCACUGGCCUUUCUCUGAAUGUUUGACAGCAAAUAGGUUUUGCUGUCUGUUUUUUUUUUUUUUUUUUAAAAAUUAUACUCUAAGUUCUGGAAUACAUGUGCAAAAUGUGCAGGUUUGUUACAUAGGUAUACAUGUGCCAUGGUGGUCUGCUGCACCCAACAACCUGUCAUCUGCAUUAGGUAUUUUUUCUAAUGCUCUCCCUCCCCUUACUCCCCCCACCAACAGGCCCUGGUGUGUGAUGUUCCCCUCCCUGUGUCCAUGUGUUCUCGUUGUUCAACUUCCACUAUAAGUGAGAACAUGCAGUGCUUGGUUUUCUGUUCUUGUUUUAGUUUGCUGAGAAUGAUGGGUUUCCAGCUUUAUCCAUGUCCCUGCAAAUGACAUGAACUCAUCCAUUUUUAUGGCUGCAUAGUACUCUAUGGUGUAUAUGUGCCACAUUUUCUUUAUCCAGUCUAUCAUUAAGGGGCAUUUCGAUUGAUGCCAAGUCUUUGCUAUUGUAAAUUGUGCCACAGUAAACAUGUGUGCAUGUGUCUUUAUAGUAGAAUGUAUUAUAAUCCUUUGGGUAUAUACCCAGUAAUGGGGUUUGUGGGUCAAAUGGCAUUUCUGGUUCUAGAUCCUUGAGGAAUUGCCACACUGUCUUCCACAAUGGUUGAACUAAUUUACUCUCCCCCAACAGUGUAAAAGCCUUCCUGUUUCUCCACAUCCUCUCCAGCAUCUGUUGUCUCCUGACUUUAAUGAUCGCCAUUCUAAUUGGCGUGAGAUGGUAUCUCACUGGGUUUUGAUUAGUAUUUCUGGAAUGACCAGUGAUGACGAGUGUUUUUCUUACGUUCGUUGGCCACAUAAAUGUCUUCUUUUGAGAAGUGUCUGUUCGUAUCCUUCCCUCACUUUUUGAUGGGUUGUUUUUUUCUUGUAAAUUUGUUUAAGUUCCUUGUAGAUUCUGGAUAUUAGACCUUUGUCAGAUGAAUAGAUGACAAAAAUUUUCCCCCAUUUUCUAGUUUGCCUAUUCACUCUGAUGAUAGUUUCUUUUGCUGUGCAGAAGCUCUUCAGUUUAAUUAGAUCCCAUUUGUCAAUUUUGAGUUUUGAUGCAAUUGCUUUUGGUGUUUUAGUCAUGAAGUCUGCCUGUGGCUAUGUCCUGAGUGGUAUUGCCUAGUUUUCUUCUAGAGUUUUUGUGGUUUUAGGUCUUACAUUUAAGCCUUUGAUCCAUCUUGAGUUAAUUUUUGUAUAAGGUGUAAGGAAGGG